Molecule: long non-coding RNA, 735 nt
Organism: Brienomyrus brachyistius
Lineage: Eukaryota; Metazoa; Chordata; Actinopteri; Osteoglossiformes; Mormyridae
Exons: 4
Source: RefSeq, a predicted model, not a curated record
GUUGGCAUUCUACAAGUUUGUAACACCUACUUAUCAACAAAUUCACGGCAGCUAUGACAGAACGAAAUAAGUUGCGUUAGCGCAAUACCUUUGAUAUUACAGAUCUACCGCCACACAGCCAGAGAACGCACGGCUACUAAGAUCUUGGAGCGUCCACUUCUGCUUAGGACAAAUCUGAAGGGCUGCUGCCCCCUUGUGCCUGGGAUGUGGAAUUGAUUUUCUUCAUGUCAUUUCUACAGUGCAGACAAUGCGACUGUUCGUGUCGGAACACAACGGCUGGAGCAUUCCUCGACUCACGCACGAUGCAGUUCCCGGAGCUUCUGAAGGAGCCCGUCCCUCUCCCGCUCCAGCGUGGAGAUUUUCUGGCUCUUCCGACUCACUUCCUGCAGGGAGCACAGCAUGCUGGCCCUCGCCUGUUCAAACACGUCGUGGAAUGUGACUGUACCAGAACUGGAAGGAAACAGAACAGUGAGUAAGAGUGACUGCCAAACUUAACGAAUACAUUAUGGUGUCCCUGUUUAAUACUCGCCCACCAAGAAAACAACCAACAUGCCCCCCCCAACAUAGGAUUUCACCUGAUGAUCUAUGAAAGAACCCAGUAACAAACUGUUCCUAGGAGUCACUACUAGGACUCCAUGCUUCAUUCGCGAUGGCGUACAGGGUACAGUCAUGAUAUCAGUCUGACAUUUUCCUUGUAUCACAACAACUCUAUUUGUGACAACAGAAAAAAAAGAC